UACGUAGGGUGCGAGCGUUAAUCGGAAUUACUGGGCGUAAAGUGUGCGCAGGCGGCGCCGCAAGUCGAGUGUGAAAGCCCCGGGCUUAACUUGGGAAUUGCGCUCGAAACUAUGGUGCUGGAGUGUGGCAGAGGAAGGUGGAAUUCCACGUGUAGCGGUGAAAUGCGUAGAGAUGUGGAGGAACACCGAUGGCGAAGGCAGCCUUCUGGGCCAACACUGACGCUGAGGCGCGAAAGCCAGGGGAGCGAACGGG
RNAcentral lists this ribosomal RNA (253 nucleotides) under uncultured bacterium. Its description in RNAcentral is "partial 16S ribosomal RNA". It matches the Rfam family "Bacterial small subunit ribosomal RNA", at positions 524 to 776 of the family's 1533-position model. The record is from RNAcentral.